CCCUUAGAUGUUCUGGGCCGCACGCGCGUUACACUGAUGCAUUCAACGAGCUUAUAACCUUGGCCGAGAGGCCUGGGCAAUCUUGUUAACGCGCAUCGUGAUAGGGAUAGAUUAUUGAAAUUAUUAAUCUUGAACGAGGAAUUCCUAGUAAACGCAGAUCAUCAAUCUGCAUUGAUUACGUCCCUGCCCUUUGUACACACCGCCCGUCGCACCUACCGAUUGGAUGGUCCGGUGAAGCCUCGGGAUUGUGGUUCUUGCCGCUUUAUUGUGGCGUGACCGCGAGAACUUGUCUAAACCUUAUCAUCUAGAGGAAGGUGAAGUCGUAACA
RNAcentral lists this ribosomal RNA (328 nucleotides) under uncultured eukaryote. RNAcentral describes it as "partial 18S ribosomal RNA". It matches the Rfam family "Eukaryotic small subunit ribosomal RNA", at positions 1470 to 1796 of the family's 1831-position model. The record is from RNAcentral.